CUGUUUUCUUGUCCUUUGCACUGAAGACAAAUGGCCAUUGACAAGGAUCCCUCUGUGCCAGUGUCUAUCCAACAUUGGUCAUCACCAUCACACACUCCCACUCCGCUAUCCGUACCAGAGGAUAAACAGAGCAGAUCCUACCCAGUCACGGCACCCAGCCUCUCCCUGAAGUGCAUGCAGUCAGUUUCCACCCAACCAAAUCUCUCACAUUCUAUUCUCCUCUCACUUCAAGUUAUUGAUUGCCAUGACUUGGGUGACAUCAUCACAGAUUUGAUCAUCAGUAUUAUGGAUUUUUUUGACAGACAAUUUGCUCUGUCCUGUGCUUGGCCAUACGUCUUGCCACCCAGACCCCAAAACGUACACCGAGACAGGGUAUUUUCUGGGAGUCUUCUCUUCAGUGAUGGAUCGUUGGGAUUGGAAUGCUGGAUGGAAUAGGACCAACGUAAAGACAAUAGACUAUGUGACUGUGGGACUGCUGAUGUUUAGGCCAUGGUCUUGUCAGGGAGGGACCAGCUCUCUCCCAAUGGGAGGAAUGAGACAUGUGAGGACACACACACACACACUCUGGCACUCUGCCAAGUAAAUACCCUGACUUCAGCUGGUCAAACGGUUUUAAAGUGUCAAGGGUUUAUAAUUAAGUAUUGACCUUCAUUCCUUCUGACAUUCCUGAAUAGAAGAUGGAUGCAUGCUUUUCAUUUGUAUGUUAGUAGUCUUUUAUUUUACUUAUUUAUUUUCUUACUGUUUUAACUGUUUACUAUCAAUAUAAGCAUGCUAAUAGCAAACAUUCACAAACACAAUAAACAAAAGCUGCUACAGUAUUUCAAUGCACCGUCAGCAUGUUUGUCAGAAUAGAGCAGUAGUGUAAUACACAUUUCUCUGUGCAUUCUUAUAUUGUGCAGUCUUUUGUUGAAAGCAUACAUUUUACCAGUACGUACAUACUAUCCCAGCUCAUUCUUGGAACAGUGAACUCCAACAAAACGGUUCAUUUGCCCCCUAAUGCCACGCUGAGGUCAUUUUUCCUAACCUACAAUCUCAAUGGUGUUGUAAUUACUCAGCUUAAAUCAAUAAAAUGAUGUAAAAGACCAGUGGGGCAGAUUCAGGCUGGGAGCCCAUAAGGUCAGUAUGAAAUGUGGAAAUGCGCCUUCCUUUCCCAUCGGACCUCAGCCUUGGAUUUCCUCAGACUCUAAAGUAUAACAUCUACAUGCUGCUGAAUACUGAUGAUCACAGCUCUGCCUGCCUGCUACCACACUCUGCUGGGUAUACUCUCUGGUGGCUUGUACGUUGACAUAUUAUGGGGUGGGCCUAUGUAAUGUACAAACAUAUGCUUCAACUGUAAGGUUAGUCUACUCUAUCGGACAUCAGAGCAGACAUGGGUGGCUAAAUACUGUUCCACAUUCAGACAAUAUCAGCACAAAAAGACACCAAGCUUGCUAGAUCAGUCACUGACAGGAGUUGAUUUUGCUGCUCCCUUAUAAGGACAUCACGAUUAUGUAGUCUAUUUUCAUUUCUGAUGCGUAUUGCCGGUGGUACAGUAGGUAGCUACGUUCUUGUUACCACGAAGUGGUUUAUUCCACAAACUAUGACUGGGUCCUUUAAAGUAGCUCCUAAGAGAUUCAUAAAUAUGCUUUCAUUUGUUUUUAGAGAAUUGAAGAGUGUACUAAUAGAGAUGUCUAUUGUUUAAGGGAGCUGACACAAUGUUAUUCUGUUUUUAAUAAUGCAUCCAUUGUUUUACAAGGCAGCAUCUUCUGGACUGUUUCAGUUACUGUGAUCAAUUUGACUGUUUUACUAAACAAUAACUUGUUUACCAUCCCACUCUGUAAUUUGAAUGUGGAUGUGUCUGGAAUGGAUGUUUGAUACCACAGUCACACAUACGCACACACAUGCACACCCACGCACAUGUUCACACACGCAAAGUUCAAACAAUUUGAAGCUUGACACCUAUGUAUUAUUUUGGUUUCCGUUAUUUUAUUGAGUAUCUCUCUUUUUCUAUGUUUUAUUUUUAUUUGUGCUGUAGCAACCUCUUCAGAUCUUUGUUCAUUGUCCAUGUUCUGUUUUGUAUGAAAUGGAUGCAUAGUUUGCAUCAUUUUGCUUUAAUAAGAACUAUUUCAAAGACUUUUAAAAAAUAUAAUCAUGGAUUUCUUUAUAGUUAAUAGUUGUAUCAGUGAUAUUCAGAAUGCACUUAAAUGAUCAAUGCCUAUUAAUGAAGUUAUUCAAAUGUUGUACUCUUAUUUUGAUGUAGAAAAUGCAUCAUUUGUAAUCGAUCUUCCUCUGUAGUAUGUGUUGAUUGACUGACACUCAAUCUGCUGUGAAGAAAUUAUAGACUGAUAUGACAAGGAUUCAUUAGUUCAAAUGUAUAGAUAGAUUAUCCUUGUAAUCUGUACCCUGUCAAAUGUCCUUAAUUAGUUUACUAUCAAUAAUGUAUGGGUCUGCGUGGAAAGUGCAAGGCCCACUCAAUAAUAUACUUAUACUAGUUGAUUUAUGGUAUUGUCAACAUAUUGUAAUGCCCUCCAGGGAUUGCUCUUGGUUUAGAGUUCAACAUGAGGCCAGUAGUAUUGUUAGAUGGAGUGGACUAAUGUCGUUUGUCAAAUUUUCUGGUCGAACACACAAAAAAAACACUACACUCUUGUAAUGUUUCCAGUUUUGUAAAUAAAUGUUGACCACUGCAAUUACA
Molecule: long non-coding RNA, 2671 nt
Organism: Salvelinus fontinalis (brook trout)
Lineage: Eukaryota; Metazoa; Chordata; Actinopteri; Salmoniformes; Salmonidae
Exons: 2
Source: RefSeq, a predicted model, not a curated record